ACAAACGCUGGCGGCGUGCUUAACACAUGCAAGUCGAACGGAAAGGCCCUGCUUUUGUGGGGUGCUCGAGUGGCGAACGGGUGAGUAACACGUGAGUAACCUGCCCUUGACUUUGGGAUAACUUCAGGAAACUGGGGCUAAUACCGGAUAGGAGCUCCUGCUGCAUGGUGGGGGUUGGAAAGUUUCGGCGGUUGGGGAUGGACUCGCGGCUUAUCAGCUUGUUGGUGGGGUAGUGGCUUACCAAGGCUUUGACGGGUAGCCGGCCUGAGAGGGUGACCGGCCACAUUGGGACUGAGAUACGGCCCAGACUCCUACGGGAGGCAGCAGUGGGGAAUAUUGCACAAUGGGCGGAAGCCUGAUGCAGCAACGCCGCGUGCGGGAUGACGGCCUUCGGGUUGUAAACCGCUUUCGCCUGUGACGAAGCGUGAGUGACGGUAAUGGGUAAAGAAGCACCGGCUAACUACGUG
Molecule: ribosomal RNA, 467 nt
Filed under: uncultured bacterium
Lineage: Bacteria
Description: partial 16S ribosomal RNA
Rfam family: Bacterial small subunit ribosomal RNA
Source: RNAcentral